CGCUGCGCUGGUGGGCCGGACCCGAUAAUGCAGGUGUCCCCAAGGCCUUGGACCUGCACACGGGGUGAGGUCACAGCAGGGCUGGGAGGGGGCAGAGGCGUGGGCGUUGGCUGGUGGGGGCCUGGCCGAGGAAGACAGGGGAAGCGAGUGGGCAGGUCAUCACAAGAUACUGAAGACAGCUCCCUGUGCAAAGUGGAUCAGUCCUGAUGGGGACCUCUCCUCCUCGGGUGUGGCGCUCCAGGCCCCCCCAGGAUCUCCUGGACAUGCUCUGUGCCCCCAGCCACGGGAGACGCCAGCCUCUCCUCGACUCCCCCAACUUUCAGCUGCAGAAGUUGCUUUAGGGCUGUGUCAGCUUCUGAAGGGAAGAGCAGCCCCAGGCCUGACCUCGCCACUCUUAUCUGCUGCCUCCUGCUGCUUCUUGGACACAUAAAUCCUCGCAGGCACGCCGAGCCUCC
Camelus dromedarius (Arabian camel) is the source of this 455-nucleotide long non-coding RNA. RefSeq lists it as uncharacterized. The transcript has 2 exons. NCBI's taxonomy places the organism in Eukaryota, Metazoa, Chordata, Mammalia, Artiodactyla, Camelidae. The record is from RefSeq and is a predicted model, not a curated record.